RNAcentral lists this microRNA (21 nucleotides) under Aedes aegypti (yellow fever mosquito). RNAcentral's name for it is "aae-miR-11927". Lineage: Eukaryota; Metazoa; Arthropoda; Insecta; Diptera; Culicidae. The record is from miRBase by way of RNAcentral.
CAAAAGAUCUGGCUACACUGA